CAACUUUCAACAACGGAUCUCUUGGUUCUGGCAUCGAUGAAGAACGCAGCGAAAUGCGAUACGUAGUGUGAAUUGCAGAAUUCAGUGAAUCAUCGAAUCUUUGAACGCACAUUGCGCCCUUUGGUACUCCAAAGGGCAUGCCUGUUCGAGCGUCAUU
This 157-nucleotide ribosomal RNA is filed under the name Curvularia australis. Its description in RNAcentral is "5.8S ribosomal RNA". It matches the Rfam family "5.8S ribosomal RNA". From Rfam's summary of the family: 5.8S ribosomal RNA (5.8S rRNA) is a component of the large subunit of the eukaryotic ribosome. It is transcribed by RNA polymerase I as part of the 45S precursor that also contains 18S and 28S rRNA. Functionally, it is thought that 5.8S rRNA may be involved in ribosome translocation. Lineage: Eukaryota; Fungi; Ascomycota; Dothideomycetes; Pleosporales; Pleosporaceae. The record is from RNAcentral.